RNAcentral lists this transfer RNA (76 nucleotides) under Candidatus Nealsonbacteria bacterium CG10_big_fil_rev_8_21_14_0_10_36_24. RNAcentral describes it as "tRNA-Ala". It matches the Rfam family "tRNA". Rfam says of the family: Transfer RNA (tRNA) molecules are approximately 80 nucleotides in length. Their secondary structure includes four short double-helical elements and three loops (D, anti-codon, and T loops). The record is from RNAcentral. Lineage: Bacteria; Candidatus Nealsoniibacteriota.
GGGCCCAUAGCUCAGUUGGUAGAGCGUGCGCAUGGCAUGCGCGAGGUCGCGGGUUCAAGUCCCACUGGGUCCACCA